Molecule: ribosomal RNA, 253 nt
Filed under: uncultured bacterium
Lineage: Bacteria
Description: partial 16S ribosomal RNA
Rfam family: Bacterial small subunit ribosomal RNA
Source: RNAcentral
CACGUAGGAGACGAGCGUUAUCCGGAUUUACUGGGUGUAAAGCGCGUGCAGGCGGUCCGAUAAGUUGGAUGUGAAAGCUCCUGGCUUAACUGGGAGAGGUCGUUCAAUACUGUUGGACUAGAGGAUGUCAGAGGGGAGUGGAAUUCCGAGUGUAGCGGUAAAAUGCAUAGAUAUUCGGAAGAACACCAGUGGCGAAGGCGGCUCUCUGGGGCAUAUCUGACGCUCAGACGCGAAAGCUAGGGUAGCAAACGGG